Molecule: ribosomal RNA, 820 nt
Filed under: uncultured bacterium
Lineage: Bacteria
Description: bacterial SSU rRNA
Rfam family: Bacterial small subunit ribosomal RNA
Source: RNAcentral
ACCAUGCAGUCGAACGGGAAUCUUCGGAUUCUAGUUGGCGGACGGGUGAGUAACGCUUAGAAUCUAACUUCAGGACGGGGACAACAGUUGGAAACGACUGCUAAUACCCGAUAUGCCGCAAGGUGAAACCUAAUUGGCCUGAAGAAGAGCUCGCGUCUGAUUAGCUAGUUGGUGGGGUAAGAGCCUACCAAGGCGACGAUCAGUAGCUGGUCUGAGAGGAUGAGCAGCCACACUGGGACUGAGACACGGCCCAGACUCCUACGGGAGGCAGCAGUGGGGAAUUUUCCGCAAUGGGCGAAAGCCUGACGGAGCAACGCCGCGUGAGGGAGGAAGGUCUUUGGAUUGUAAACCUCUUUUCUCAAGGAAGAAGUUCUGACGGUACUUGAGGAAUCAGCCUCGGCUAACUCCGUGCCAGCAGCCGCGGUAAUACGGGGGAGGCAAGCGUUAUCCGGAAUUAUUGGGCGUAAAGCGUCCGCAGGUGGUCAGCCAAGUCUGCCGUCAAAUCAGGUUGCUUAACGACCUAAAGGCGGUGGAAACUGGCAGACUAGAGAGCAGUAGGGGUAGCAGGAAUUCCCAGUGUAGCGGUGAAAUGCGUAGAGAUUGGGAAGAACAUCGGUGGCGAAAGCGUGCUACUGGGCUGUAUCUGACACUCAGGGACGAAAGCUAGGGGAGCGAAAGGGAUUAGAUACCCCUGUAGUCCUAGCCGUAAACGAUGGAUACUAGGCGUGGCUUGUAUCGACCCGAGCCGUGCCGAAGCUAACGCGUUAAGUAUCCCGCCUGGGGAGUACGCACGCAAGUGUGAAACUCAAAGGAAUUGACG